Molecule: ribosomal RNA, 725 nt
Filed under: bacterium IMCC8438
Lineage: Bacteria
Description: bacterial SSU rRNA
Rfam family: Bacterial small subunit ribosomal RNA
Source: RNAcentral
GAUGAACGCUAGCGGCAGGCUUAACACAUGCAAGUCGAGGGGUAACAGGGAGCUUGCUCUGCUGACGACCGGCGCACGGGUGCGUAACGCGUAUGCAACCUACCUUCUACAGGGGGAUAGUCAAUAGAAAUGUUGAAUAAUACCCCAUACGAUCUUUGAGUGGCAUUACUUAAAGAGGAAAGCUUCGGCGGUAGAAGAUGGGCAUGCGUCCUAUUAGUUAGUUGGUGAGGUAACGGCUCACCAAGACCGCGAUAGGUAGGGGCCCUGAGAGGGGGAUCCCCCACACUGGUACUGAGACACGGACCAGACUCCUACGGGAGGCAGCAGUGAGGAAUAUUGGACAAUGGAGGCAACUCUGAUCCAGCCAUGCCGCGUGCAGGAAGACUGCCCUAUGGGUUGUAAACUGCUUUUAUACAGGAAGAAACCUACUUACGUGUAAGUAGCUGACGGUACUGUAAGAAUAAGGAUCGGCUAACUCCGUGCCAGCAGCCGCGGUAAUACGGAGGAUCCAAGCGUUAUCCGGAAUCAUUGGGUUUAAAGGGUCCGUAGGUGGUUUAUUCAGUCAGAGGUGAAAUCCCAUAGCUUAACUAUGGAACUGCCUUUGAUACUGAUAGACUUGAGUUAUUGUGAAGUGGUUAGAAUGUGUAGUGUAGCGGUGAAAUGCAUAGAUAUUACACAGAAUACCGAUUGCGAAGGCAGAUCACUAACAAUAUACUGACACUGAG